GCCAGGCGUGGUGGCGCACGCCUGUAAUCUCAGCUACUCAGGAGGCUGAGGCAGAAGAAUCGCUUGAACCUGGGAGGCAGAGGUUGCAGUGAGCCAAGAUUGUGCCACUGCACUCUGGCCUGGGUGACAGAGCGAGACUCUACCUCAA
RNAcentral lists this signal recognition particle RNA (148 nucleotides) under Gorilla gorilla gorilla (western lowland gorilla). RNAcentral's name for it is "Metazoan signal recognition particle RNA". It matches the Rfam family "Metazoan signal recognition particle RNA". From Rfam's summary of the family: The signal recognition particle (SRP) is a universally conserved ribonucleoprotein. It is involved in the co-translational targeting of proteins to membranes. Lineage: Eukaryota; Metazoa; Chordata; Mammalia; Primates; Hominidae. The record is from Rfam by way of RNAcentral.